UGGGUUCAUUAUAAUUUUAAACAAUAAUAAGAUACAGCAUAUAAUGAAUUGAAAUAUCUAUUUUAUUAAUUAACAAUAUCAAGUAUAUGAGUUUGAAAGAUAAAAGAUAGAAAAAUAUCCUAUCACAUCCCAUAUGCGAUUGGCUUGUAGGGUAUAAUUCUUUCAAACAUAAGUCAAUGCCAAUUCUAGCAAAAGUCAACCCCAAAAUGACCAC
RNAcentral lists this long non-coding RNA (214 nucleotides) under Elaeis guineensis (African oil palm). RNAcentral's name for it is "long non-coding RNA (EGUI_LNC066146)". The record is from RNAcentral. Lineage: Eukaryota; Viridiplantae; Streptophyta; Magnoliopsida; Arecales; Arecaceae.